This is a non-coding RNA of Brachypodium distachyon (stiff brome), 136 nucleotides long. Lineage: Eukaryota; Viridiplantae; Streptophyta; Magnoliopsida; Poales; Poaceae. The record is from Rfam.
GAACUACUUUCUCCGAUCUAUACUACUUGUCGCAUAUUUGUCCAGAUACACAUGUAUCUAGACGUGUUUCGUUGUGUAGGUACAUGUGUAUCUAGACAAAGCUGUGACAAGUAAUAUGGAUCGAAGGGAGUACAUA